Molecule: ribosomal RNA, 504 nt
Filed under: uncultured bacterium
Lineage: Bacteria
Description: partial 16S ribosomal RNA
Rfam family: Bacterial small subunit ribosomal RNA
Source: RNAcentral
AACGAACGCUGGCGGCGCGUCUUAAGCAUGCAAGUCGGACGGCAGGGGUAGCAAUACCCCUAGAGUGGCGGACUGGUGAGUAACGCGUGGGUGACCUACCCUCGAGAUGGGGAUAGCCAUUAGAAAUAGUGGAUAACACCGACUACGCUCGUGACCCUGUGGGGAUACGAGGAAAUCAGGCUACGGCCUGGCUCGAGGAUGGGCCCGCGUCCCAUUAGCUAGUUGGUGAGGUAACGGCCCACCAAGGCGACGAUGGGUAUCCGGGCUGAGAGGGUGUACGGACACAUUGGGACUGAGAUACGGCCCAAACUCCUACGGGAGGCAGCAGCUAAGAAUAUUCCGCAAUGGACGAAAGUCUGACGGAGCGACGCCGCGUGGAUGAAGAAGGCCGAAAGGUUGUAAAAUCCUUUUGCUGAUGAAGAAUAAGUGGUGUAGGGAAUGACAUCAUGAUGACAUUAGUCGGUGAAUAAGCCCCGGCUAACUACGUGCCAGCCGCCGCAGUAA